Molecule: non-coding RNA, 528 nt
Organism: Delphinapterus leucas (beluga whale)
Lineage: Eukaryota; Metazoa; Chordata; Mammalia; Artiodactyla; Monodontidae
Source: RefSeq, a predicted model, not a curated record
UCCCAUUGCGGGGGCCUCUCUUGACCCCAUUUUUCUCCUUCCGGAGCGCUCCGCAGAGCGCUGGCAAGGGAGGGCGCGCCAAGCCAGACAGAGCCCAAGGCGCCCUCCAAGAACGCGCGCUACUUGGAAUCCCCCUCCCGGAAACCCGCAAAGAUGGAAAGCACCUCAUCUCAGCCCCUCAUUGCACCAAUAAGGAAGUAGGCCCCAGCGAAAAGAGGCGGCAGGGGCGGAACACACGAGCGACAGAGCUACCGUAAUUUAUUGUUAUAGAUUUGUACAACCAGAUCAGUCCUUGAAGGAUGGGAAAGAGCACUGAUAAUCACAGAAACAAAAGUGAUCCUUCACCAAAGGAAGCUUGAGAAGCACAGAGGCCUCAUCAGUAGCCUAAGAACAAUGAAGGGAAGAGACAUAUGCGACCCAAUAACAGUUUCCUGACCACGGAACGAACCUGAGCCUUCUGCACUGGAAGCUCAGAGUCUUAACCACUGGACCGCCAGGAAAUACACUCUGGGACUUCCCUGGUGGUGC